Molecule: ribosomal RNA, 379 nt
Filed under: Hebeloma neurophyllum
Lineage: Eukaryota; Fungi; Basidiomycota; Agaricomycetes; Agaricales; Hymenogastraceae
Description: partial small subunit ribosomal RNA
Source: RNAcentral
AACGAAGUGAAGCAUGUUAUUUAAUACGAAAGUACGCGUAAAAUCUUACCAGUUCUUGCAUAGCCAAUCCCUCUUAUUUUUUAAAGAUGAAAACUACUCCCUCCUUUAUUUCUUAUUUUUAUUAAGAAUAAAAAGGUAGGAGAACAUUUUUUUUUAAUUUAAGACUGGAUUGAGUGAUAAUUAUUUAUUAAUAAGUUUGAUUCCCUUUUCUUGUUUCUUCUCUAUCUUUAGCUAUAUAUUUGCUUUCGUAUUUCUAUUUAAGUAUGGGAAUCCUUCGAAGGCUAAAGUAGUCCCCUCCUUGCAUAGCAAGGAGGAUAGAAAUGAAGGAGACAAAAUAUUGUAAUAAUAUUUAUUUAUUUUAAUUUAUCCGUUUACAGGU